GUGGGGAAUCUUGCGCAAUGGGCGAAAGCCUGACGCAGCCAUGCCGCGUGAAUGAUGAAGGUCUUAGGAUUGUAAAAUUCUUUCACCGGGGACGAUAAUGACGGUACCCGGAGAAGAAGCCCCGGCUAACUUCGUGCCAGCAGCCGCGGUAAUACGAAGGGGGCUAGCGUUGCUCGGAAUUACUGGGCGUAAAGGGCGCGUAGGCGGACAGUUUAGUCAGAGGUGAAAGCCCAGGGCUCAACCUUGGAAUUGCCUUUGAUACUGGCUGUCUUGAGUACGGGAGAGGUGAGUGGAACUCCGAGUGUAGAGGUGAAAUUCGUAGAUAUUCGGAAGAACACCAGUGGCGAAGGCGACUCACUGGCCCGUUAUUGACGCUGAGGCGCGAAAGCGUGGGGAGCAAACAGGAUUAGAUACCCUUGUAGUCC
This 425-nucleotide ribosomal RNA is filed under the name uncultured bacterium. RNAcentral describes it as "partial 16S ribosomal RNA". It matches the Rfam family "Bacterial small subunit ribosomal RNA", at positions 354 to 796 of the family's 1533-position model. The record is from RNAcentral.